Molecule: non-coding RNA, 175 nt
Organism: Methanococcoides burtonii DSM 6242
Lineage: Archaea; Methanobacteriati; Methanobacteriota; Methanomicrobia; Methanosarcinales; Methanosarcinaceae
Source: Rfam
UAUCCCUUCCAUUUGGGAUAAUCCUACUAUGACAUGCAUUGAUGGUGACGUCAAUGUGUGAAGCUCAUAGGACAAUAGAGGGAAGUUCGGAAAUCCAUUCAAACAAUCUGUUAGGAUACGAAUACCAUGAAGAAACGAAAGUUGAACCAUUGUAAGAGUCGUUACGAUGAACAAG